RNAcentral lists this ribosomal RNA (1627 nucleotides) under metagenome. RNAcentral describes it as "bacterial LSU rRNA". It matches the Rfam family "Bacterial large subunit ribosomal RNA", at positions 1218 to 2925 of the family's 2925-position model. The record is from RNAcentral.
UACAUGUUGGGUAGGGGAGCGUUGUAUACGCGGAGAAACAGUAGCGUAAGCGGCUGUGGAGUGUAUAGAAGUGAGAAUGCCGGAAUGAGUAGCGCGAAUGCAGUGAGAAUCUGCAUGGCCGAAAGCCUCAGGUUUCUGGAGGAAGGUUCGUCUGCUCCAGGUUAGUCGGGAGCUAAGGUGAGGCCGAAGGGCGUAGCCGAUGCACAGACGGUAGAGAUUCCGUCACCACCAAAAGAGUUAAGCACAGGGACACAUUUGAAGUCUCGGAGCCGGGUGUUGGUUCCGGUAGCGAUCGAGGGAAGUUAGUACCGAAGUCUGAGAUGGAAGAUGGCGAGAAAAGUUGUGUGUAUUUCUGCGGUGCCCGUACCGCAGACCGACAUAGGUAGGUAGGAAGAAGAUUCUAAGGCCAACGGGAGAAGGGUUGUUAAGGAACUCGGCAAAUUGACCCCGUAACUUCGGGAGAAGGGGUGCUCCAGAGAUGGAGCCGCAGAGAAUCGGCCCAAGCAACUGUUUUACCAAAAACACAGGUUUGUGCUAAAUCGAAAGAUGACGUAUACGAGCUGACGCCUGCCCGGUGCUGGAAGGUUAAGAGGAGAUGUGCAAGCAUUGAAUCGAAGCCCCAGUGAACGGCGGCCGUAACAAUAACGGUCCUAAGGUAGCGAAAUUCCUUGUCAGGUAAGUUCUGACCCGCAUGAAAGGCGUAAUGAUUUGGGCACUGUCUCAACAGCCCGCCCGGCGAAAUUGUAGUACCGGUGAAGAUGCCGGUUACCCGCGACAAGACGGAAAGACCCCAUGGAGCUUUACUGUAGCCUAAUAUUGGGUUUCGAUGUUGCAUGCACAGGAUAGAUGGGACACUGGGAAGCAAGAGCUUUGGCUUUUGUGGAGUGGCCGUUGGGAUACCAUCCUUGCGAUAUUGGAAUUCUAACCUGCGGCCCUGAAUCGGGUCGGGGGACAUUGUUAGGUGGGCAGUUUGACUGGGGCGGUCGCCUCCUAAAAAGUAACGGAGGCGUUCAAAGGUUCGCUCAGCUUGAACGGAAAUCAAGCAAAAGAGUGCAAACGCAGAAGCGAGCCUAACUGCGAGACUGACGGGUCGAGCAGUAACGAAAGUUGGAGUUAGUGAUCCGGUGGUAUGUGAGUGGAAAUGCCAUCGCUCAACGGAUAAAAGUUACCCUGGGGAUAACAGGCUGAUCUCCCCCAAGAGUCCACAUCGACGGGGAGGUUUGGCACCUCGAUGUCGGCUCAUCGCAUCCUGGGGCUGUAUUCGGUCCCAAGGGUUUGGCUGUUCGCCAAUUAAAGCGGUACGCGAGCUGGGUUCAGAACGUCGUGAGACAGUUCGGUCCCUAUCUGUCGUGGGCGCAGGAUAUUUGAUGGGAGCUGUCCCUAGUACGAGAGGACCGGGACGGACGUACCUCUGGCGCACCAGUUGUUCCGCCAGGAGCAUAGCUGGGCAACUACGUACGGAUCGGAUAUACGCUGAAAGCAUCUAAGCGUGAAGCCGACCCAAAGAUAAGAUAUCCCACUGAUUUGAUCAGGUAAGAUCCCUUGUAGACUACGAGGUUGAUAGGCACGAUGUGUAAGUGGAGCGAUCCAUUCAGCAAGUGUGUACUAAUAGAUCGAGGGCUUGACC